This is a long non-coding RNA of Adelges cooleyi (spruce gall adelgid), 895 nucleotides long. RefSeq lists it as uncharacterized. The record is from RefSeq and is a predicted model, not a curated record. The transcript has 3 exons. Lineage: Eukaryota; Metazoa; Arthropoda; Insecta; Hemiptera; Adelgidae.
AAAAAAUUUAAUAUAAAACACUUAAAUUUAUUUACUUUUUCGUCGAGUUCGUUAAUUAUUUUUUUAUCAAAUUCUCUGAGAUUUUUUCUAUGGUCUGCUUGAAGUUGAAGACGCAUCUCUGUUUUACCAGGUUUGUCUUUGUCCGAUUUUAAUAAAGUUUGUAUACUGACUAAAAAAAAAAAAAUAUUUAAAUUUUCAACCAAACAUUUUGCAGCAACAUUAAUAGAAAAUACUGGUUAUUAAAAUUACAUAUAAUUGCAAUGUUCAUAAAUAAGCCGCUCAUUAACGAGGGUUGGACCAUUAAAUUGUACAGGAGUCACUCGUUAACAUAAUAUAAAUUGCUAUGUAUUUAAUUGAUAAACAUACUGAAAUUGAAAUUGAUUAAAAUAAAAUAUUAUAUACAAUACCUGAAUGUGUAUUAAUAAUUUCUAAUCUUUUUUGAAAAAGUUGUUUUUCAGUGACGUGUUGUAUAUCUGUAAGUUGUUUUACGAUGCUAUAUAACGUUUCGUCAAGAAGACAUUCAGCCAACUCGCAAAGUAAUUCGUUUGGAAUACGUUGUUGAUAUUUUCUGAAAACAAGAUGCCAAUACACAGCGGUCAGAAUGAAAGGACUGCUCUGCCACCUUAUGCUGUUGCAGCUGAGUCGCGAAUAUUAUAAUAUUUAAGUUUAUGAAUAGGACAUUUUUCAUGUUGCUAUCAAUAAAAGAGAGCAAGGGAGUUAAAAAAAUUUUUUGGAUGCAAGUGGAGAACCAAAACCGGGUUUUUUAAAUCAAAAUAGGAUUUGGCUAGGAGUUAAGAGUAUAUUUUUGUCACUUUACAAUAGAAAUUUUGAUGAUUCACCACCGUUUCAAGUUAGUUAUUAUGUUGCACGUAAUCAGUAACACCUUAAAAAACGA